GGGGGCAUGGCGGAAUCGGUAUACGCUGCGGACUUAAAAUCCGUUGGUUUUUAACCAUGAGGGUUCAAGUCCCUCUGCCCCCA
This 83-nucleotide transfer RNA is filed under the name Coleochaete orbicularis. RNAcentral describes it as "tRNA-Leu". It matches the Rfam family "tRNA". Rfam says of the family: Transfer RNA (tRNA) molecules are approximately 80 nucleotides in length. The record is from RNAcentral. Lineage: Eukaryota; Viridiplantae; Streptophyta; Coleochaetophyceae; Coleochaetales; Coleochaetaceae. RNAcentral also lists the same sequence under 1 other name.